RNAcentral lists this ribosomal RNA (440 nucleotides) under uncultured bacterium. RNAcentral's name for it is "partial 16S ribosomal RNA". It matches the Rfam family "Bacterial small subunit ribosomal RNA", at positions 338 to 795 of the family's 1533-position model. The record is from RNAcentral.
CCUACGGGUGGCAGCAGUAGGGAAUAUUGCUCAAUGGGGGAAACCCUGAUGCAGCAACGCCGCGUGGGGGAUGAAGGUUUUCGGAUUGUAAACUCCUUUUGUCAGAGAAGAUAAUGACGGUAUCUAACGAAUAAGCACCGGCUAACUCCGUGCCAGCAGCCGCGGUAAUACGGAGGGGGCAAGCGUUACUCGGAAUCACUGGGCGUAAAGGGCGCGUAGGGGGGUUAGUAAGUCAGAAGUGAAAUGCUAUGGCUUAAACAGAGAACUGCAUUUGAAACUGUUAAUCUGGAGUAUGGGAGAGGUAGGUGGAAUUCUUGGUGUAGGGGUAAAAUCCGUAGAGAUCAAGAGGAAUACUCAUUGCGAAGGCGACCUGCUAGAACAUAACUGACGCUGAUGCGCGAAAGCGUGGGGAGCAAACAGGAUUAGAUACCCUAGUAGUC